Molecule: long non-coding RNA, 2038 nt
Organism: Scatophagus argus
Lineage: Eukaryota; Metazoa; Chordata; Actinopteri; Scatophagidae
Exons: 2
Source: RefSeq, a predicted model, not a curated record
UUUUGUACUUCCGGGGAGACCGAGAGAGAGAAGGGAAAGGUGCGGAGAGUGAAUGGCGCGGAGCUAAGCUAGCGGCAAGGACAGUGAUUGGGAAGAGACGCCACCUGCAUCCAUGGGAGAGACUUCGCCGGGUUGCCAAGGGGUCGGCGGUGGAGGACGCUACGUUGCUGCCGAGGUUGACGGGGAAGUGCGACACGGAGCGCUGCUGGUCCGGGUGAUUCCAUCGUCACACAGAGACUGGUUGGAUUCUACUUCAGCAGAAUAACCUCUUCCACAUUAAAGACCUGAACUGAGUGCCGUCUCACUGCUUUUUGUGAUAAACUCUCAUCAAUUACGAAGUACAACAGAUUUGUCCAUCCGUCCAUCCAUCCAUGUUCUAUACCACUUAUCUGUCAUUUCGUGGGGGGGGGGCUGGAGCCUAUCCCAGCUGACCACGGGCGAGAGGCGGAGUACACCCUGGACUGGUCGCCAUUCAGUCGCAGGGCUGACACACAAAGACAGACAACCACUCACGCACAUGCUUGCACUUGGGGACAAUGUAGAGAGGCCAUUUAACCUAAUGUGCACAUUUUUGGGAUUGUGGGAGGAAGUCGGAGUACCCUGAGCAAACCCAUGCAGGCACAAGGAGAUGUUAUUAAUGUUAUUAUAUAAUAUUUUAUAAUAACAACAACUUCAUCAGAAAAUACUACAACUGAAACUACAGUAGAGUUUGAUCUCCACCUGGAAGUCUGCUAACUGUCUCGUUGCCACUCCUGGUAUCUUCACUGUACCGACAUGGACAGAAGAUCUGGCUUCAGAAAGUGGGUAAGAUUUGGGUAGACUUCUUUCAGCAAGUGAAUCUUUAGUCCAGCCUAGUGUUUGCCCUAUAAAACCCAAUAAAAUACAGUAUUUCUGAUGUCUUUCUAUAUAAAUAUACUGUAAAAAGCAAUGGACAAUGUCAUGAUUUAAGAGGUUUUCUUCAAAAUUAUGCCAUCAUUUUUUCUCCAAACAGAUAAAUUUUACUGUCAGUGUCACCAGUUACUAGAUUAAAAAUUCAGAAAAGUUAAACUUACACUGUAGCAUAACUAAGCAAGCAUGUGUGUAAGGCCUGACUGGAAACCAUGACCCAAAACUUACCCUGAGCUCCACAAAAUAAAAUAAGAAAGAAAAAAAAAGAUUUGAUAUGUGAGUAAGAUAUGUGAAUAAGAGAACAGGUUGUGUUUCUCUGUGUAUUCAAUGUCAGCAUAAGGCUUUUUUUUUUUGCUAAAAUGGUCAAAAUGUUGAAUGAAGAAGAAGACUUUUGACGUCUAUGAGUCAUCUGGCCAGAAAGUAUUAGAAAUCCAUGCUUUGCAUGGUUUGCUUUUUGCAAACUUUGCUUUUAUAGUGGUUUUAUUUUCUCUGUCACUUGAAUUCCCAAUUUGUAUACAAGUGUGCAAUUUGAUUCAGAUUUAAUUUGCAACCAGUUUAGAACUAUGCUUAAAGGCAGAGGAAACAUGGCAAAGUGAAAAACGUUAAUGGAGCAGUGUAACGCAGUAUGAAGUGCCAUCUACAAUAGGAGGCUCUUAGUAACGGAGGUCAAAUGAAAUUGGGAUGUCAAGCACAAUUGGAAUUACAUUCUAUGGAGUGAUUCAUGUUCUAUUUUCUGUGGGAUUUGCAAAAAAGGAAUGGAGCCAAAUCCUAAUAGGAAACAUUAUCAUAUGUAAUACAAAUUUACAUCUGAGUCUCUCUAUAAAAUUGCCUUUCUAUGCUGCACUGGCAUAUUCAAUCAUGUCAUAUGACUUUAUGAAAAGCCAAGUUGUGGAAAUAAAUGAACCAAAGCAACCUUGUGCUAGGUUCAGCGUCACUGGUGUAAUAUUUAUAUGCAUAAUUAGUUUUUUUAUGCUGCCAGGGAUUUAUGAUGUAUCUGAAGAAUUCUAUUUGGGGAACAGUUUGCAGAGCGUGAAUAAGAAAGCAUAUUUGAUGAAAUGAAUGAGAGGGAUAAUGGCAAUGUUGAAAAUUGUGUUAAAUGUCCCAAUUUUAACAUUGUAAUAAAAGAAGUGUACAAAUGUAUGACCCUAAA